This 219-nucleotide ribosomal RNA is filed under the name uncultured bacterium. RNAcentral's name for it is "partial 16S ribosomal RNA". It matches the Rfam family "Bacterial small subunit ribosomal RNA", at positions 524 to 740 of the family's 1533-position model. The record is from RNAcentral.
UACGUAGGGUGCAAGCGUUGUCCGGAAUUAUUGGGCGUAAAGAGCUCGUAGGCGGUCUGUCGCGUCUGCUGUGAAAACUCAGGGCUUAACCCUGAGCUUGCAGUGGGUACGGGCAGACUAGAGUGCGGUAGGGGAGACUGGAAUUCCUGGUGUAGCGGUGAAAUGCGCAGAUAUCAGGAGGGAACACCGGUGGCGGAAGGCGGGUCUCUGGGACGGUAC